Molecule: non-coding RNA, 24 nt
Filed under: Arabidopsis thaliana (thale cress)
Lineage: Eukaryota; Viridiplantae; Streptophyta; Magnoliopsida; Brassicales; Brassicaceae
Source: RNAcentral
UUUCAAAAUAUUGUGUCUACAGGA